RNAcentral lists this ribosomal RNA (253 nucleotides) under uncultured prokaryote. RNAcentral describes it as "partial 16S ribosomal RNA". It matches the Rfam family "Bacterial small subunit ribosomal RNA", at positions 524 to 776 of the family's 1533-position model. The record is from RNAcentral.
UACGAAGGGGGCAAGCGUUGUUCGGAAUUACUGGGCGUAAAGGGCGCGUAGGCGGCUUGCCAAGUCAGGCGUGAAAUUCCCGGGCUCAACCUGGGGGCUGCGCUUGAUACUGGCUGGCUUGAAUGCGGGAGAGGAUAGUGGAAUUCCCAGUGUAGAGGUGAAAUUCGUAGAUAUUGGGAAGAACACCGGUGGCGAAGGCGGCUAUCUGGCCCGUGAUUGACGCUGAGGCGCGAAAGCGUGGGGAGCGAACAGG